RNA transcript from Gossypium raimondii (Peruvian cotton), 2264 nucleotides. RefSeq lists it as hypothetical. NCBI's taxonomy places the organism in Eukaryota, Viridiplantae, Streptophyta, Magnoliopsida, Malvales, Malvaceae. The record is from RefSeq and is a predicted model, not a curated record. The transcript has 2 exons.
UUGGUUGGAUUUUUACUAAGGGCGCGCCGCGUCAACCCCCACUCCCCAUUCUUCGGCUCCCUAAUUUUAACUAAUUUAACCCACUUCCACUUACCCGUUCCUUUAUAUAUGCUUCCCCCACCCUCUCCUCCUUUUCCCCAUUUCUUCUUGUUGACACAGACUUCUCUACUUUUUCUAGGUUCCUCACUGUUCCGGCGCCAGGUUUGUUUCUUUUUCUUUUCCCCAUUAUGUCCUCGUUUGAGAAUUAGUAUCCGUUUGUGAUUUGAUCAUGUGCAUACGUGAUGGGCUAGUUCUUUAAAUCUUUGAUCUUCAGCUGGGUUUGGUCGUUUUAUAAUUUCCUUCCCGUGCAUGACUACAUUUUUAGAGUAGGAUUUUGACCCCCCCCAAAAAAUAGUAGUUAGCUAGCAUCAGAAGAGAACCCAGCCAAAAUAUAUCAAAAUUUUGACUCAAUUUUUGAUAUUAUGUUGGGUUCUGCAGAAGAACGUUUGAGUUCUACACGGUUUGAAGCUUUUGGAAUUUCACCGUAGAUAAAAAACUUUUUUGGUCUCAAAGGCAAUGGAGGUAUACGGCAAAACCAUGGCUGCUGCCCCUGCAAAUGUUAUUUUUUUGUCUACUAUUCUAGGCCGUGACGGGCCUUUUCCUGUUCACAAAUGUGAUUGGAAAUGCCAAAAUGAACAUGUUUGUGGCAACAUGUAUCGCUGCAAACUAACAGGAACCACACAUAUCUGUGACAAGAACUGUAACCAGAGAAUUUUGUAUGAUAACCAUAGUUCCCUUUGCCGGGCAAGCGGCCAGGUCUUUCCGCUUUCUCAAGCUGAGGAACAGGUGAUCAGAGGCGUCAGGAGGAAGCUUGAUGCUGACAAUUUCCCACCCUCUGAUAGCUGUGGUUUUAAGCGCAGACGUGAUGCGCAGAUUCGUCCUUCUCCUUUUGAGAGAUCUUUCUCUGCUGUUAGUCCCAUCUGCAGCCAAGUUGGAGAUGGCAUGGACUUGAGCUAGAUUAGUUUCGAAUUUAGAUUACAUAUACCGCAUCCUAUUCUUAACCUUAAGGACUUUUUAUCUUGUUUCACUUAUCUAGUUCCCAUUGGAACUUAUUUCAUGGGACAAAUAUGGAUAAAUGGAUAAUAGACCUGAUGAUGGUAGAUAGUUCUACCUGCCUCUAGGAAGAACGUUUUUAUUUCUUACCUUCUCUUAUGCUAUGUAGCCCUUUCCUAGCUUAAUUUUGAGAAAUCAAAUUUACUUCACUUUCUGUCCAACUGAUCUACCUUGAUUUAUCAACUAUGGUGCUUCUAGGUCUGUAAUAAGAGUUUUAUUCUAAAGAUCUUCGUCUAUCUAUUCCUUGGUUAUUUAUGUUUAUUCUAAUUGUUAAUGUUGUGGCAUCUUUAAUUUAUUUUUUCCAGCAUCAAUAUUUUUUGAUGGAUGGUGCCAUAUUCAUUUUUAAUCUAGCUCUAAAUCCACAGAUUCAAUUCUAUUGUUUUGUGUUCUUUUUGCAACAAUUGUAUUUAAUUCUGUGGUUUGCUGUUAUAUUUGAUUUGAUUCCAUAACCUCUAUCGCUUUUUGGUUUGACCAGUGAAUGUAGGUUGAAGAGGAAUGGCAUGGCUGUUGUCAUGUGUUUAUUAUAUGCUAAGUUUAUACUUUUAUAUUUUUUUUUCCUGUUAAUUUGUUAUAUAAGAUCCUGAAGUAAAUGUUGGUUUUGCAGGGUUGAAAGUGCUAUUCAGGAGAGUUAAAAUAUGCUUUUGCAGUAUAUCUGUGAUUGAUUGUAUUGGAUAUCAAACGCAUGCCUAUUACUGCUGAUGGCCUUGACUGUAUGUUACGUUUACACCUUUGCGGCUUGAUGUUGGCAUUCUGGCUUUUGGAGGGAUUUCCCUCAUACAGUGCAUGAUGGUUCAACCUUAUUCAUUCUCAAAUCAUAUGGGCAUCUUCAGGCAGCUACAGGGUAGUGCUACAUGGCCAUGUAUAAAGGUGUACUGUUUGAGUUUUGCACAUGGAAGAACUGCUUCAUGCUAGUGUUUAGUAAUUGCCAUGUAUUUACAGCUUUGAUGGGGUGAAGAAAGGAAUUGGUAUCUUCUGCUCGGCUGCUCAUAAUAAAUGUGCUGAUGCUGUCUUUUUGAAUUAAAAUAAACAUCUUUGGUUUCAAGCCUGGUUUGCUGAAACUAAUGGAGAGUUUUGGGUAAGGUGAGUGAUCUUACUGCCUAAUUGCUUGGUUAAGCUACUUGCUAUAAUCUUUAUACUGACCAUGAAAUAACAUUAUUGUUUGACUUCCACUA